Molecule: long non-coding RNA, 413 nt
Filed under: Nicotiana benthamiana
Lineage: Eukaryota; Viridiplantae; Streptophyta; Magnoliopsida; Solanales; Solanaceae
Description: long non-coding RNA (NBEN_LNC003668)
Source: RNAcentral
GCGAACUGUGGGUUUCCUCAAGAAUCAAAUCUCUAAGCCCAUCCACAUUGGGCACACAAAUCCGACCCUGCAUCCUUGACACUCCAUCAUCACCUAUAGUCACAUUUCUAGCAUCUUCGUGGGGAACUCUGUUCUUUAGGAAAAGAAAAUUCGAAUCAUCAUACUGGCACUCUUUGACGUUAUCAUAUAAAGAAGACCGAGAAAUCACGCAAUCCAAUACCCGACUAUGCUAUGAAAUGUCUAAUCUCACAAAUUGAUUGGCCAAAGCCUGAACAUCAACUACAAAAGGACUCUCCCCAAUUUGAAUAUAUGCCAAACUCCCCAUACUAAGUGCCUUUCGGCUCAGAGCAUCGGCCACUGCAUUAGCCUUUCCCGGAUGAUACAAAAUGGUAAUAUCAUAGUCCUUAAGUAAC